This 85-nucleotide transfer RNA is filed under the name Felis catus (domestic cat). It matches the Rfam family "tRNA". Rfam says of the family: Transfer RNA (tRNA) molecules are approximately 80 nucleotides in length. Their secondary structure includes four short double-helical elements and three loops (D, anti-codon, and T loops). The record is from Rfam by way of RNAcentral. Lineage: Eukaryota; Metazoa; Chordata; Mammalia; Carnivora; Felidae.
ACCUGGCUGGCUCAGUUGGUUGAGCGUUCGACUUUAGCUCAGGUCAUGAUCUCGUGCUUUGUGAGUUUGAGCCUCACGUCAGGCU